UAGGGAAUCUUCGGCAAUUGGGGCAACCCUGACCGAGCAACGCCGCGUGAGUGAAGAAGGUUUUCGGAUCGUAAAGCUCUGUUGUAAGAGAAGAACGUGUGUGAGAGUGGAAAGUUCACACAGUGACGGUAACUUACCAGAAAGGGACGGCUAACUACGUGCCAGCAGCCGCGGUAAUACGUAGGUCCCGAGCGUUGUCCGGAUUUAUUGGGCGUAAAGCGAGCGCAGGCGGUUUAAUAAGUCUGAAGUUAAAGGCAGUGGCUUAACCAUUGUUCGCUUUGGAAACUGUUAAACUUGAGUGCAGAAGGGGAGAGUGGAAUUCCAUGUGUAGCGGUGAAAUGCGUAGAUAUAUGGAGGAACACCGGUGGCGAAAGCGGCUCUCUGGUCUGUAACUGACGCUGAGGCUCGAAAGCGUGGGGAGCAAACAGG
RNAcentral lists this ribosomal RNA (429 nucleotides) under bacterium. Its description in RNAcentral is "partial 16S ribosomal RNA". It matches the Rfam family "Bacterial small subunit ribosomal RNA", at positions 355 to 776 of the family's 1533-position model. The record is from RNAcentral.